RNAcentral lists this ribosomal RNA (674 nucleotides) under uncultured bacterium. RNAcentral describes it as "bacterial SSU rRNA". It matches the Rfam family "Bacterial small subunit ribosomal RNA", at positions 74 to 762 of the family's 1533-position model. The record is from RNAcentral.
UGGAGCUUGCUCCAUUUGAUCUAGUGGCGGACGGGUGAGUAACACGUGAGCAACCUACCUUUCAGUGGGGGAUAACGUCUGGAAACGGACGCUAAUACCGCAUAACAUCAUCUGGUGACAUCACCGGGUGAUCAAAGGAGCAAUCCGCUGAGAGAUGGGCUCGCGCCCGAUUAGAUAGUUGGUGAGGUAAUGGCCCACCAAGUCUGCGAUCGGUAGCCGGACUGAGAGGUUGAACGGCCACAUUGGGACUGAGACACGGCCCAGACUCCUACGGGAGGCAGCAGUGGGGAAUAUUGCACAAUGGGGGAAACCCUGAUGCAGCGAUGCCGCGUGAGUGAAGACGGUCUUCGGAUUGUAAAGCUCUGUUGACGGGGACGAUAAUGACGGUACCCGUUUAGAAAGCCACGGCUAACUACGUGCCAGCAGCCGCGGUAAUACGUAGGUGGCGAGCGUUGUCCGGAAUUACUGGGUGUAAAGGGAGCGCAGGCGGGGAGCCAAGUUGGAUGUGAAAUACCGCAGCUUAACUGCGGGGCUGCAUCCAAAACUGGUUCUCUUGAGUGAAGUAGAGGUAGGCGGAAUUCCUAGUGUAGCGGUGAAAUGCGUAGAUAUUAGGAGGAACACCAGUGGCGAAGGCGGCCUACUGGGCUUUAACUGACGCUGAGGCUCGAAAGCGU